AGUGAACGCUGGCGGUAGGCCUAACACAUGCAAGUCGAACGGCAGCACAGUAAGAGCUUGCUCUUACGGGUGGCGAGUGGCGGACGGGUGAGGAAUACAUCGGAAUCUACUUUUUCGUGGGGGAUAACGUAGGGAAACUUACGCUAAUACCGCAUACGACCUACGGGUGAAAGCAGGGGAUCUUCGGACCUUGCGCGAUUGAAUGAGCCGAUGUCGGAUUAGCUAGUUGGAGGGGUAAAGGCCCACCAAGGCGACGAUCCGUAGCUGGUCUGAGAGGAUGAUCAGCCACACUGGAACUGAGACACGGUCCAGACUCCUACGGGAGGCAGCAGUGGGGAAUAUUGGACAAUGGGCGCAAGCCUGAUCCAGCCAUACCGCGUGGGUGAAGAAGGCCUUCGGGUUGUAAAGCCCUUUUGUUGGGAAAGAAAAGCAGCAGGUUAAUACCCCGCUGUUCUGACGGUACCCAAAGAAUAAGCACCGGCUAACUUCGUG
This 492-nucleotide ribosomal RNA is filed under the name uncultured bacterium. RNAcentral's name for it is "partial 16S ribosomal RNA". It matches the Rfam family "Bacterial small subunit ribosomal RNA", at positions 29 to 507 of the family's 1533-position model. The record is from RNAcentral.